GAGUAACACGUAAAGAACCUGCCUCAUAGACUGGGACAACUAUUGGAAACGAUAGCUAAUACCGGAUAACAGCAUUAACUGCAUGGUUGAUGUUUAAAAGUUGGUUUUGCUAACACUAUGAGAUGGCUUUGCGGUGCAUUAGCUAGUUGGUGGGGUAAAGGCCUACCAAGGCGACGAUGCAUAGCCGACCUGAGAGGGUGAUCGGCCACACUGGGACUGAGACACGGCCCAGACUCCUACGGGAGGCAGCAGUAGGGAAUCUUCCGCAAUGGGCGAAAGCCUGACGGAGCAACGCCGCGUGAGUGAAGAAGGAUUUCGGUUCGUAAAGCUCUGUUGUUAGGGAAGAAUGAUUGUGUAGUAACUAUACACAGUAGAGACGGUACCUAACCAGAAAGCCACGGCUAACUACGUGCCAGCAGCCGCGGUAAUACGUAGGUGGCAAGCGUUGUCCGGAAUUAUUGGGCGUAAAGCGCGCGCAGGUGGUUUAAUAAGUCUGAUGUGAAAGCCCACGGCUCAACCGUGGAGGGUCAUUGGAAACUGUUAAAACUUGAGUGCAGGAGAGAAAAGUGGAA
This 572-nucleotide ribosomal RNA is filed under the name Gemella haemolysans. Its description in RNAcentral is "bacterial SSU rRNA". It matches the Rfam family "Bacterial small subunit ribosomal RNA", at positions 108 to 666 of the family's 1533-position model. Lineage: Bacteria; Bacillati; Bacillota; Bacilli; Caryophanales; Gemellaceae. The record is from RNAcentral.